RNAcentral lists this transfer-messenger RNA (245 nucleotides) under Chloroflexota bacterium. RNAcentral's name for it is "Chloroflexi bacterium (hot springs metagenome) partial transfer-messenger RNA". It matches the Rfam family "transfer-messenger RNA", at positions 114 to 374 of the family's 374-position model. Rfam says of the family: Bacterial tmRNA, also known as 10Sa RNA or SsrA, is named for its dual tRNA and mRNA-like properties. Its role is to liberate the mRNA from a stalled ribosome. The record is from RNAcentral. Lineage: Bacteria; Bacillati; Chloroflexota.
GGAUGGUCCCCCGAUGAGGGGACCCGCUCGACCGGACCCAUCGCCGACGGGGCCGGAUCGGGUGUGACAAAAUCGGCGUGCGGCGGCCCGGCGCCCCGGAAGGCCGCCUAAGACCGAAGGGGCUGGCCGGCCGGAGACCUUGCCGGUUGGAGGACCGGUCGGUGAGAGGGGAAGAACCGGAUAAGCCUGUAGACACCGGCGGUCGAAUCUUCCGGACGCGGGUUCGAUUCCCGCCGCCUCCACUC